Molecule: long non-coding RNA, 1872 nt
Filed under: Amborella trichopoda
Lineage: Eukaryota; Viridiplantae; Streptophyta; Magnoliopsida; Amborellales; Amborellaceae
Description: long non-coding RNA (ATRI_LNC005220)
Source: RNAcentral
UGUAGUAUUGUCUUUUGGAUGUCUAUUUUGCUAGUGCUAGUAGGUCAACAAAUUUGAAUGUUCAGUGCUCAACAUUCCAGUAUUAUGUUUUAUCCUUGAAUCUUUUAAGGAAAUUAUAAUUCCUAUGCUUGCAUACUUGCGAAAGAAAAAAUGUACUGGUCGGUUCAGUUAAACUUGAAGCAGCGCCUGUUUGGCUAGACCUUAUAACUGGCGCUGAACUAGCCAAAUUAUCAGAGCAGUCUGAACCCUAUCCUUAACCGCCCACUCAUUUUAAGCUUUGGGAAUUUCUCUUUUGUAUGGGAUAGGGACCAUGGGCAGGAUCUAAACCUCUACCUCAUGAAACCCAAGCACAAAAAUCAUCUCAUGAGCAUUUCUACUUGUUAUUAUGUUGAUGUUUCAAUUAAUGAAUGCAUAUACUUUCUUGUUGGGCACAUAAUACUAUUAACGUAGAGAAUACAUUAACUUAAUGAUAUUAAUCCUGGAUGUUGAAGUUUGGAAAAUGCUAGUAUACUCGAACUCUGCUUGCUUAUCGUUGUUAUCCUCAAAUGAUGUGUAAUUUGUCAUAUUUUGCAGAUCACGGUUCUUGGGACAUCAGGACUUUCAGGAUCCUACAUUGAGCAAAGAGCUUGACUGUAUGGACAUACAUUCAGCGGUGGGCAUGCCUCUUUUCCUUGGGAAGAUAUCCUCUGCACCCUUUGUUGAGCAUCCAAAACUGCAGUGUAAUGCUUAAUUUAUUCAAUCGUAAUUCAAUUGGUUGGUUUGGCAUUCAAAAGUUUCCACUGAUAUAUUAAUAUAGACAAACAUUAUUUGAAGGGAAAUUUAUCAACAAGUACCCAAAAGAUGAACUAUUUAAGAUCUCACUCAGUCUUUGAUUGAACUUCAAAUAGCCCAUCAAAGGGCACAAUCAUGAGCCAGAGUAGUUGAUAGUUAAAGUGUGUUUUGAGGGUGAAAUGCUAUGCGGUUGAUGUUUUAUGUGUGGUUAAAAUUCCCUUAUUUGAAAUGUACCUAUUGAGAUUUCAUGGUCAAAGAAAAUGGACGUGAACCUGUCCAAACAGGAUCGCCACACUUUUUGUGUUGGACCCAGUCCAGCUUAGUUCCAGUCUAAUAUAAAUAAGGUGUAUUUGAACUAAUGUCGAAUACUUUAUUGUGUCUUGCAGGCUGUGUCCCUUGUCAAAUGAGCAUCAAAAGCUAUGCAUGCAGCAUAUAAGCGCUACGUGGCAUAUUUGGACUCUUUUGGGCCUGAUGAGACAUAUCUGAGAAAGAAGGUCGAGACAGAGCUGGGGACAAAGAUGAUGCAUCUAAAGAUGCGAUGUGGUGGCCUUGAUUCUGAAUGGGGGACGGUAAAAUUUCAUGUAGUAUUGUCUUUUGGAUGUCUAUUUUGCUAGUGCUAGUAGGUCAACAAAUUUGAAUGUUCAGUGCUCAACAUUCCAGUAUUAUGUUUUAUCCUUGAAUCUUUUAAGGAAAUUAUAAUUCCUAUGCUUGCGUACUUGCGAAAGAAAAAAUAUACUGGUCGGUCCAGUUAAACUUGAAGCAGUGCCUGUUUGGCUAGACCUUAUAACUGGCGCUGAACUAGCCAAAUUAUCAGAGCAGUCUGAACCCUAUCCUUAACCCCCCACUCAUUUUAAGCUUUGGGAAUUUCUCUUUUGUAUGGAAUAGGGACCAUGGGCAGGAUCUAAACCUCUACCUCAUGAAACCCAAGCACAAAAAUCAUCUCAUGAGCAUUUCUACUUGUUAUUAUGUUGAUGUUUCAAUUAAUGAAUGCAUAUACUUUCUUGUUGGGCACAUAAUACUAUUAACGUAGAGAAUACAUUAACUUAAUGAUAUUAAUCCUGGAUGUUGAAGUUUGGAAAAUGCUAGUAUACUCGAACUCUG